RNAcentral lists this unclassified non-coding RNA (519 nucleotides) under Hevea brasiliensis (rubber tree). The record is from RNAcentral. Lineage: Eukaryota; Viridiplantae; Streptophyta; Magnoliopsida; Malpighiales; Euphorbiaceae.
GAAGAAAACACUUCAUUGGGAGGACAUGAACACAUUGAUUCGAACAUACAAGUCACUGGAGAUGUAGAAAGUCACUUGCAAGGUGAUGGCUAUGACAAUAUUCCAACGUCUUUUACUAUCGAGAGGUCAUGUACUCCCCCUUUAUCACAGGAAUUUCCACACCACUGGAACUCAAAAAUGGAGGAAUUCUCUCAGGUGCAUAUGCAUCUCAAAAAUGAGGCUCAGCAUGAUGUUUCCAGUUUUCAUGCACAAACUCCUUAUCCCUAUUAUAUUUCAGGAGUAAUGAAUCAAGUCAUGAUGCCGUCAACUCAAAUAUAUCACGAGAGCCUGCAACAUCUCCAUAAUCAUGCUAAUUCAGCUAUGUUGCCUCAAUACAAUUAUAUGCCGCAAUAUCCUCAUAUGCAUGGAAUAUCAUCAUAUCCUUUCUACCCGAUCGGCAUGUGCUUACAACCAGGUCAAUUGCCAGCAGCACAUCCAUGGCAUUCGUUUGGCAGUUCAUCUUCUGCCGAAAUCAAGGUG